RNAcentral lists this ribosomal RNA (1005 nucleotides) under metagenome. Its description in RNAcentral is "bacterial LSU rRNA". It matches the Rfam family "Bacterial large subunit ribosomal RNA", at positions 1924 to 2925 of the family's 2925-position model. The record is from RNAcentral.
UAAACGGCGGUGGUAACUAUAACCAUCCUAAGGUAGCGAAAUUCCUUGUCGGGUAAGUUCCGACCUGCACGAAUGGCGUAACGACUUCCCCACUGUCUCGACCAGGAGCUCGGCGAAAUUGCAGUACGAGUAAAGAUGCUCGUUAAGCGCAGAAGGACGAAAAGACCCCGGGACCUUUACUAUACCUUGGUAUUGGCAUUCGGUGUGGAUUGUGUAGCAUAGGCGGAAGGCUUCGAAGCCACGGCGCCAGCCGCGGUGGAGCCGCAAGGUGAAAUACCGCUCUGUUCGCAUUGGAUGUCUAACCUCGACCAGUCAUCCUGGUCAGGGACAGUGCCUGGCGGGUAGUUUAACUGGGGCGGUUGCCUCCCAAAGAGUAACGGAGGCGCUCAAAGGUUCCCUCAGCCCGGUUGGCAAUCGGGUGGCGAGUGUAAGUGCACAAGGGAGCUUGACUGCGAGACUGACGGGUCGAGCAGGGACGAAAGUCGGAACUAGUGAUCCGGUGCCGGUGUACGGACGCGGCAUCGCUCAACGGAUAAAAGGUACCCCGGGGAUAACAGGCUGAUCAUUCCCAAGAGUCCAUAUCGACGGGAUGGUUUGGCACCUCGAUGUCGGCUCGUCGCAUCCUGGGGCUGGAGCAGGUCCCAAGGGUUCGGCUGUUCGCCGAUUAAAGCGGCACGCGAGCUGGGUUCAGAACGUCGUGAGACAGUUUGGUCUCUAUCCUCUGCGCUCGUCGGAAUGUUGAGGAGGCCUGCCCAUAGUACGAGAGGACCUGGGUGGACGAACCUCUGGUAUGCCGGUUGUCACGCCAGUGGCACGGCCGGUUGGCUACGUUCGGAAGGGAUAACCGCUGAAAGCAUCUAAGCGGGAAGCCUGCUCCAAGAUAAGCAUUCCAUAGGACUACGGGUCCUUGAAGUCCCCAUGCAGAACACGUGGUUGAUAGGCCGGACGUGGAAGCCCCGCGAGGGGUGGAGCCGACCGGUACUAACGGACGAAAGGCAACACAAC